AAAUAUGAAGCAAUAAUUUGCAUUUAAUUUCGACUUAAAAGAAAGAGUAUAAAUUUUACUCCAUAUUUA
RNAcentral lists this transfer RNA (69 nucleotides) under Carterocephalus silvicola (northern checquered skipper). RNAcentral's name for it is "tRNA-Arg". The record is from RNAcentral. Lineage: Eukaryota; Metazoa; Arthropoda; Insecta; Lepidoptera; Hesperiidae.